RNAcentral lists this unclassified non-coding RNA (680 nucleotides) under Athalia rosae (coleseed sawfly). RNAcentral's name for it is "misc RNA ENSAEAG00005009742.1". Lineage: Eukaryota; Metazoa; Arthropoda; Insecta; Hymenoptera; Athaliidae. The record is from RNAcentral.
GCCUCGACACUUCCCGCACGAUUCUCGGCGACGCAAUAAAACUCGCUCGAGUCAGCCUCCUGUGCGUUCGUCAAUACCAGUGUGCUCUUCUUCUGGAAUUCACCGUCUUCGAAUAUCAGUAUUUUUUGGAAACUGCUGAAGGCCGUGUGAUUCGAGAGCAGUCUUCCGUUCCAAUACCACUUUAUUUGGGCCUCCGGUGUGGCGCUCACGCGACACACUAUGCUGGCGUUCUCGCCUAUCGUGGCCUCGGCGUAACGAGUGACGACGAGGAGAACUGGACGGCAGGCAAAGUCGUCGACGUUUCAGAUUUUCGAGGAGGUCCAGUCCGUCGAACGCCUUGGAUUCGAUCUCUCGUAUUUUGCAAUGUGAUAUGUCGAGUUUGACGAGAUUCGGUGUGUUCUUCAGGGCGUUUGCGGGCACCUUCUGCACCGGAUUAUGCGAGAGGAUCAGGUCCCGGAGGAACUGAGUGUCGGCGAAACUGGCGUCGGGUAUCGCCGUGAGCAAAUUGUUGCUCAGGUCCAACUCGACGAGAUUAGUCAAACCGGCCAGAGCCUUGCUGUCGAUUCGAUCGAUGUGACAACUGCGGAGAUACAGUCGCUGUAGAUUGGUAAGUCCUAGCUGUUUAAAAAUGUUUUUCGACAAUAUCUUAAGUUUAUUUCCACUCAUGUCCAACACUUGGG